GGGGGGGGCUAGGAUGAAAUAUUUUGUCCUGCAUUUUUUUUUUAGUUGUAAUCUCUGUCCUGCCUUUUUAUUUUUCACUCUAUUCGGUCCUGCCUUUUUUUUAUUAGUUUAUCCUGACUUUUUUUACCUAAAUUAUCAUCCUGCCUUUUAUUUUUGCAAAGUGUGUCAUCCUGCCUUUUUUUUUACCCAAAACUCCUGUUCUGCCUAUUUUUUUUCAAAUUUCAUC
RNAcentral lists this long non-coding RNA (226 nucleotides) under Mytilus galloprovincialis (Mediterranean mussel). Lineage: Eukaryota; Metazoa; Mollusca; Bivalvia; Mytilida; Mytilidae. The record is from RNAcentral.